RNAcentral lists this long non-coding RNA (812 nucleotides) under Theobroma cacao (cacao). RNAcentral's name for it is "long non-coding RNA (TCAC_LNC002407)". Lineage: Eukaryota; Viridiplantae; Streptophyta; Magnoliopsida; Malvales; Malvaceae. The record is from RNAcentral.
GGUGGUGAAACUUCCGAUAAGGGUAAGGAGAUUGUACCCGAAGACCGGGACUAGGAGUACUUCGACUCCCAAUAUUGUGAGUAACCAUAUUAUCGUCUUAAUUAUCUAAAGUAGUUUUUAUUCAUUUUUAUGAUUUUAUAGAAAAAUGAGUUUAAAUGGUAAAUCCUUAUGUUUUAUAAGUAAAAUGUGAUUAAAUGAAAUGAGUUUUAUAAAUCAUUUUGAAAUUGAAUGAUGAUUUUAGAAAUUGAGUAAUUAGAGACUAUUUGAUUGUGUUGUAAAUUUAUGGUUUGAAUUGAAUGGCUUAUGGUGAUAUUGGCAUGAAUGGUUGAAUUGGAAACUAUGUUGAAAUUGUAUGAACUAUUUGUUUUGCCUUAACAGGCUGGGUAGUAAUAUAAUUGCCAUGUCAUGCUGUUGAAACUUUUAUUGAUUUGGUGGGAUAUUGAUUAGUCACUGCAGUGGCGGGUUUUCGUGGACGAGCCUAUUAGAGAGGGGCACGGUAAACCCCGAUUAUAUUUUACCUCAGUGCGAAAGGCGUGAAGGGUAUCUCUUGAGGUAAAGCUUUAGAGUUCACUACACGCUAAACCACCACGUGAGGAUGAACUCAGCCAACGCCAAGGAACGGCUAUACUUUUAAACGUAAAAAUGUGUUUUAUGCGUAUAUGAACUUUUCUUUAACAGCCUUGGUGGACUCAGUUGGAUGCCUGGGCCAAGGUAUCCCUGAGAAUGAGUUUUGGCACGAGCUAAUUUUUUAAUAAAUUCAUAAGCCAUGUUGAUUAUUUGAGUGAAAUUAAAUUAUUUUAUUUAGCUGAAUC